RNAcentral lists this transfer RNA (70 nucleotides) under Anguilla anguilla (European eel). It matches the Rfam family "tRNA". Rfam says of the family: Transfer RNA (tRNA) molecules are approximately 80 nucleotides in length. Lineage: Eukaryota; Metazoa; Chordata; Actinopteri; Anguilliformes; Anguillidae. The record is from Rfam by way of RNAcentral.
UCCUCGUUAGUAUAGUGGUCAGUAUCCCCGCCUGUCACGCGGGAGACCGGGGUUCACCCCCGACGGGAGA